GACGAACGCUGGCGGCGUGCUUAACACAUGCAAGUCGAACGGAAAGGCCCUGCUUUUGUGGGGUGCUCGAGUGGCGAACGGGUGAGUAACACGUGAGUAACCUGCCCUUGACUUUGGGAUAACUUCAGGAAACUGGGGCUAAUACCGGAUAGGAGCUCCUGCUGCCUGGUGGGGGUUGGAAAGUUUCGGCGGUUGGGGAUGGACUCGCGGCUUAUCAGCUUGUUGGUGGGGUAGGGGCUUACCAAGGCUUUGACGGGUAGCCGGCCUGAGAGGGUGACCGGCCACAAUGGGACUGAGAUACGGCCCAGACUGCUACGGGAGGCAGCAGUGGGGAAUAUUGCACAACGGGCGGAAGCCUGAUGCAGCAACGCCGCGGGCGGGAUGACGGCUUUCGGGUGGUAAACCGCUUUCGCCUGUGACGAAGCGUGAGUGACGGUAAUGGGUAAAGAAGCACCGGCUAACUACGUG
RNAcentral lists this ribosomal RNA (468 nucleotides) under uncultured bacterium. Its description in RNAcentral is "partial 16S ribosomal RNA". It matches the Rfam family "Bacterial small subunit ribosomal RNA", at positions 28 to 507 of the family's 1533-position model. The record is from RNAcentral.